Molecule: ribosomal RNA, 492 nt
Filed under: uncultured bacterium
Lineage: Bacteria
Description: partial 16S ribosomal RNA
Rfam family: Bacterial small subunit ribosomal RNA
Source: RNAcentral
AGUGAACGCUGGCGGUAGGCCUAACACAUGCAAGUCGAACGGCAGCACAGUAAGAGCUUGCUCUUACGGGUGGCGAGUGGCGGACGGGUGAGGAAUACAUCGGAAUCUACUUUUUCGUGGGGGAUAACGUAGGGAAACUUACGCUAAUACCGCAUACGACCUACGGGUGAAAGCAGGGGAUCUUCGGACCUUGCGCGAUUGAAUGAGCCGAUGUCGGAUUAGCUAGUUGGCGGGGUAAAGGCCCACCAAGGCGACGAUCCGUAGCUGGUCUGAGAGGAUGAUCAGCCACACUUGAACUGGGAAACGGUCCAGACUCCUACGGGAGGCAGCAGUGGGGAAUUUUGGACAAUGGGCGCAAGCCUGAUCCAGCCAUACCGCGUGGGUGAAGAAGGCCUUCGGGUUGUAAAGCCCUUUUGUUGGGAAAGAAAAGCAGCAGGUUAAUACCCCGCUGUUCUGACGGUACCCAAAGAAUAAGCACCGGCUAACUUCGUG